RNAcentral lists this ribosomal RNA (253 nucleotides) under uncultured bacterium. RNAcentral's name for it is "partial 16S ribosomal RNA". It matches the Rfam family "Bacterial small subunit ribosomal RNA", at positions 524 to 776 of the family's 1533-position model. The record is from RNAcentral.
UACGGAGGGGGCUAGCGUUGUUCGGAAUUGCUGGGCGUAAAGCGCACGUAGGCGGCUUUGUAAGUUAGAGGUGAAAGCCCGGGGCUCAACUCCGGAAUUGCCUUUAAGACUGCAUCGCUAGAAUUGUGGAGAGGUAAGUGGAAUUCCGAGUGUAGAGGUGAAAUUCGUAGAUAUUCGGAAGAACACCAGUGGCGAAGGCGACUUACUGGACACAUAUUGACGCUGAGGUGCGAAAGCGUGGGGAGCAAACAGG